CGGGCGAGGUGCCGGUCUAAGUCCCUUGGAACGGGGCGUCAUAGAGGGUGAGAAUCCCGUAUGCGACCGGCGUCCGAGCCCAUGUGAAACCCCUUCGACGAGUCGAGUUGUUUGGGAAUGCAGCUCAAAACGGGUGGUAAAUUUCAUCUAAAGCUAAAUACCGGCCAGAGACCGAUAGCGCACAAGUAGAGUGAUCGAAAGAUGAAAAGCACUUUGGAAAGAGAGUCAAAAAGUACGUGAAAUUGUUGAAAGGGAAGCGCUUGCGACCAGACCUGCCCGCGGGUGAUCAGCCGUCCUUCUGGGCGGUGCACUCGCCCGCGAUCAGGCCAGCAUCGGUUCGGGCGGUCGGAUAAAGGCCUUGGGAACGUGGCUCCCCUCGGGGAGUGUUAUAGCCCUCGGUGCAAUGCGGCCUGCCCGGACCGAGGACCGCGCUUCGGCUAGGAUGCUGGCGUAAUGGUCGUAAGCGGCCCGUCUUGAAACACGGACCAAGGAGUCGACCAACUAUGCGAGUGUUUGGGCGUCAAACCCACACGCGCAAUGAAAGUGAACGGAGGUGGGAACCCCUCGCGGGGCGCACCAUCGACCGAUCCAGAUGUCUUCGGAUGGAUUUGAGUACGAGCAUAGCUGGUCGGACCCGAAAGAUGAUGAACUAUGCCUGAAUAGGGUGAAGCCAGAGGAAACUCUGGUGGAGGCUCGCAGCGGUUCUGACGUGCAAAUCGAUCGUCAAAUUUGGGCAUAGGGGCGAAAGACUAAUCGAAUCAUC
Molecule: ribosomal RNA, 763 nt
Filed under: Polycauliona sp. 29 UA-2013
Lineage: Eukaryota; Fungi; Ascomycota; Lecanoromycetes; Teloschistales; Teloschistaceae
Also listed under: 1 other name
Description: LSU rRNA
Rfam family: Eukaryotic large subunit ribosomal RNA
Source: RNAcentral